RNAcentral lists this ribosomal RNA (730 nucleotides) under Salmonella enterica subsp. enterica serovar Schwarzengrund. Its description in RNAcentral is "partial 23S ribosomal RNA". It matches the Rfam family "Bacterial large subunit ribosomal RNA", at positions 2204 to 2925 of the family's 2925-position model. Lineage: Bacteria; Pseudomonadati; Pseudomonadota; Gammaproteobacteria; Enterobacterales; Enterobacteriaceae. The record is from RNAcentral.
CCUUUAAUGUUUGAUGUUCUAACGUGGACCCGUGAUCCGGGUUGCGGACAGUGUCUGGUGGGUAGUUUGACUGGGGCGGUCUCCUCCUAAAGAGUAACGGAGGAGCACGAAGGUUGGCUAAUCCUGGUCGGACAUCAGGAGGUUAGUGCAAUGGCAUAAGCCAGCUUGACUGCGAGCGUGACGGCGCGAGCAGGUGCGAAAGCAGGUCAUAGUGAUCCGGUGGUUCUGAAUGGAAGGGCCAUCGCUCAACGGAUAAAAGGUACUCCGGGGAUAACAGGCUGAUACCGCCCAAGAGUUCAUAUCGACGGCGGUGUUUGGCACCUCGAUGUCGGCUCAUCACAUCCUGGGGCUGAAGUAGGUCCCAAGGGUAUGGCUGUUCGCCAUUUAAAGUGGUACGCGAGCUGGGUUUAGAACGUCGUGAGACAGUUCGGUCCCUAUCUGCCGUGGGCGCUGGAGAACUGAGGGGGGCUGCUCCUAGUACGAGAGGACCGGAGUGGACGCAUCACUGGUGUUCGGGUUGUCAUGCCAAUGGCACUGCCCGGUAGCUAAAUGCGGAAGAGAUAAGUGCUGAAAGCAUCUAAGCACGAAACUUGCCCCGAGAUGAGUUCUCCCUGAGACUUAGAGUCUCCUGAAGGAACGUUGAAGACGACGACGUUGAUAGGCCGGGUGUGUAAGCGCAGCGAUGCGUUGAGCUAACCGGUACUAAUGAACCGUGAGGCUUAACCUUACA